GAGAAUAUAGCUCAGCAGUAGAGUAUAUGCUUAGCAUGCAUGAGGCCCUGGGUUCAAUCCCCAGCACCUCCA
RNAcentral lists this transfer RNA (72 nucleotides) under Camelus bactrianus (Bactrian camel). It matches the Rfam family "tRNA". Rfam says of the family: Transfer RNA (tRNA) molecules are approximately 80 nucleotides in length. Their secondary structure includes four short double-helical elements and three loops (D, anti-codon, and T loops). The record is from Rfam by way of RNAcentral. Lineage: Eukaryota; Metazoa; Chordata; Mammalia; Artiodactyla; Camelidae. RNAcentral also lists the same sequence under 2 other names.